AUGGAACUGAGCCUGAGGUAUCUGUGAUGUAUGCAUAUUAACCAAUAUCAUAAUUCUAAAAAGGUGCUGAGCUUUGAAAUAUGUUCUGUGCUCAACCUGGAGAUACAAAGACAAAUGAACCCUGAUGAUUAGGCCUUUCCUACAAGAGCUUCCUUCCUGGUAGGGAAGAAAGAUCACUUCUCCUUGCUGCUGACAUGGGAAGAAAGUGUUGUGUCCUCUUCUGCCAUGAUUAUAAGUUUCCUGAGACCUCUCCAGCCC
RNAcentral lists this long non-coding RNA (258 nucleotides) under Callithrix jacchus (white-tufted-ear marmoset). RNAcentral's name for it is "lncRNA (ENSCJAG00000075587.1)". The record is from RNAcentral. Lineage: Eukaryota; Metazoa; Chordata; Mammalia; Primates; Cebidae.